CCUUCAUGAAGCCGGAAUUGCUAGUAAUGGCAGGUCAGCAUACUGCCGUGAAUACGUUCCCGGGCCUUGUACACACCGCCCGUCACACCAUGAGAGUUGGGGAUACCCGAAGCCUGUGAGCUAACUAUUUAUAGGAGCAGCAGUCGAAGGUAGAAUCAAUGAUUGGGGUGAAGUCGUAACAAGGUAGC
This 188-nucleotide ribosomal RNA is filed under the name uncultured bacterium. RNAcentral describes it as "partial 16S ribosomal RNA". It matches the Rfam family "Bacterial small subunit ribosomal RNA", at positions 1315 to 1500 of the family's 1533-position model. The record is from RNAcentral.